This 2930-nucleotide ribosomal RNA is filed under the name Shigella boydii. RNAcentral describes it as "bacterial LSU rRNA". It matches the Rfam family "Bacterial large subunit ribosomal RNA". Lineage: Bacteria; Pseudomonadati; Pseudomonadota; Gammaproteobacteria; Enterobacterales; Enterobacteriaceae. The record is from RNAcentral.
GGGUUGUGAGGUUAAGCGACUAAGCGUACACGGUGGAUGCCCUGGCAGUCAGAGGCGAUGAAGGACGUGCUAAUCUGCGAUAAGCGUCGGUAAGGUGAUAUGAACCGUUAUAACCGGCGAUUUCCGAAUGGGGAAACCCAGUGUGUUUCGACACACUAUCAUUAACUGAAUCCAUAGGUUAAUGAGGCGAACCGGGGGAACUGAAACAUCUAAGUACCCCGAGGAAAAGAAAUCAACCGAGAUUCCCCCAGUAGCGGCGAGCGAACGGGGAGCAGCCCAGAGCCUGAAUCAGUGUGUGUGUUAGUGGAAGCGUCUGGAAAGGCGCGCGAUACAGGGUGACAGCCCCGUACACAAAAAUGCACAUGCUGUGAGCUCGAUGAGUAGGGCGGGACACGUGGUAUCCUGUCUGAAUAUGGGGGGACCAUCCUCCAAGGCUAAAUACUCCUGACUGACCGAUAGUGAACCAGUACCGUGAGGGAAAGGCGAAAAGAACCCCGGCGAGGGGAGUGAAAAAGAACCUGAAACCGUGUACGUACAAGCAGUGGGAGCACGCUUAGGCGUGUGACUGCGUACCUUUUGUAUAAUGGGUCAGCGACUUAUAUUCUGUAGCAAGGUUAACCGAAUAGGGGAGCCGAAGGGAAACCGAGUCUUAACUGGGCGUUAAGUUGCAGGGUAUAGACCCGAAACCCGGUGAUCUAGCCAUGGGCAGGUUGAAGGUUGGGUAACACUAACUGGAGGACCGAACCGACUAAUGUUGAAAAAUUAGCGGAUGACUUGUGGCUGGGGGUGAAAGGCCAAUCAAACCGGGAGAUAGCUGGUUCUCCCCGAAAGCUAUUUAGGUAGCGCCUCGUGAAUUCAUCUCCGGGGGUAGAGCACUGUUUCGGCAAGGGGGUCAUCCCGACUUACCAACCCGAUGCAAACUGCGAAUACCGGAGAAUGUUAUCACGGGAGACACACGGCGGGUGCUAACGUCCGUCGUGAAGAGGGAAACAACCCAGACCGCCAGCUAAGGUCCCAAAGUCAUGGUUAAGUGGGAAACGAUGUGGGAAGGCCCAGACAGCCAGGAUGUUGGCUUAGAAGCAGCCAUCAUUUAAAGAAAGCGUAAUAGCUCACUGGUCGAGUCGGCCUGCGCGGAAGAUGUAACGGGGCUAAACCAUGCACCGAAGCUGCGGCAGCGACGCUGAUGCGUUGUUGGGUAGGGGAGCGUUCUGUAAGCCUGCGAAGGUGUGCUGUGAGGCAUGCUGGAGGUAUCAGAAGUGCGAAUGCUGACAUAAGUAACGAUAAAGCGGGUGAAAAGCCCGCUCGCCGGAAGACCAAGGGUUCCUGUCCAACGUUAAUCGGGGCAGGGUGAGUCGACCCCUAAGGCGAGGCCGAAAGGCGUAGUCGAUGGGAAACAGGUUAAUAUUCCUGUACUUGGUGUUACUGCGAAGGGGGGACGGAGAAGGCUAUGUUGGCCGGGCGACGGUUGUCCCGGUUUAAGCGUGUAGGCUGGUUUUCCAGGCAAAUCCGGAAAAUCAAGGCUGAGGCGUGAUGACGAGGCACUACGGUGCUGAAGCAACAAAUGCCCUGCUUCCAGGAAAAGCCUCUAAGCAUCAGGUAACAUCAAAUCGUACCCCAAACCGACACAGGUGGUCAGGUAGAGAAUACCAAGGCGCUUGAGAGAACUCGGGUGAAGGAACUAGGCAAAAUGGUGCCGUAACUUCGGGAGAAGGCACGCUGAUAUGUAGGUGAAGUCCCUCGCGGAUGGAGCUGAAAUCAGUCGAAGAUACCAGCUGGCUGCAACUGUUUAUUAAAAACACAGCACUGUGCAAACACGAAAGUGGACGUAUACGGUGUGACGCCUGCCCGGUGCCGGAAGGUUAAUUGAUGGGGUUAGCGCAAGCGAAGCUCUUGAUCGAAGCCCCGGUAAACGGCGGCCGUAACUAUAACGGUCCUAAGGUAGCGAAAUUCCUUGUCGGGUAAGUUCCGACCUGCACGAAUGGCGUAAUGAUGGCCAGGCUGUCUCCACCCGAGACUCAGUGAAAUUGAACUCGCUGUGAAGAUGCAGUGUACCCGCGGCAAGACGGAAAGACCCCGUGAACCUUUACUAUAGCUUGACACUGAACAUUGAGCCUUGAUGUGUAGGAUAGGUGGGAGGCUUUGAAGUGUGGACGCCAGUCUGCAUGGAGCCGACCUUGAAAUACCACCCUUUAAUGUUUGAUGUUCUAACGUGGACCCGUGAUCCGGGUUGCGGACAGUGUCUGGUGGGUAGUUUGACUGGGGCGGUCUCCUCCUAAAGAGUAACGGAGGAGCACGAAGGUUGGCUAAUCCUGGUCGGACAUCAGGAGGUUAGUGCAAUGGCAUAAGCCAGCUUGACUGCGAGCGUGACGGCGCGAGCAGGUGCGAAAGCAGGUCAUAGUGAUCCGGUGGUUCUGAAUGGAAGGGCCAUCGCUCAACGGAUAAAAGGUACUCCGGGGAUAACAGGCUGAUACCGCCCAAGAGUUCAUAUCGACGGCGGUGUUUGGCACCUCGAUGUCGGCUCAUCACAUCCUGGGGCUGAAGUAGGUCCCAAGGGUAUGGCUGUUCGCCAUUUAAAGUGGUACGCGAGCUGGGUUUAGAACGUCGUGAGACAGUUCGGUCCCUAUCUGCCGUGGGCGCUGGAGAACUGAGGGGGGCUGCUCCUAGUACGAGAGGACCGGAGUGGACGCAUCACUGGUGUUCGGGUUGUCAUGCCAAUGGCACUGCCCGGUAGCUAAAUGCGGAAGAGAUAAGUGCUGAAAGCAUCUAAGCACGAAACUUGCCCCGAGAUGAGUUCUCCCUGACCCUUUAAGGGUCCUGAAGGAACGUUGAAGACGACGACGUUGAUAGGCCGGGUGUGUAAGCGCAGCGAUGCGUUGAGCUAACCGGUACUAAUGAACCGUGAGGCUUAACCUUACAACGCCGAAGCUGUU